This 351-nucleotide ribosomal RNA is filed under the name Salmonella enterica subsp. enterica serovar Kentucky. Its description in RNAcentral is "bacterial LSU rRNA". It matches the Rfam family "Bacterial large subunit ribosomal RNA", at positions 1224 to 1575 of the family's 2925-position model. Lineage: Bacteria; Pseudomonadati; Pseudomonadota; Gammaproteobacteria; Enterobacterales; Enterobacteriaceae. The record is from RNAcentral.
UUGGGUAGGGGAGCGUUCUGUAAGCCUGUGAAGGUGGCCUGUGAGGGUUGCUGGAGGUAUCAGAAGUGCGAAUGCUGACAUAAGUAACGAUAAAGCGGGUGAAAAGCCCGCUCGCCGGAAGACCAAGGGUUCCUGUCCAACGUUAAUCGGGGCAGGGUGAGUCGACCCCUAAGGCGAGGCCGAAAGGCGUAGUCGAUGGGAAACGGGUUAAUAUUCCCGUACUUGGUGUUACUGCGAAGGGGGGACGGAGAAGGCUAUGUUGGCCGGGCGACGGUUGUCCCGGUUUAAGCGUGUAGGUGUGUGUUCCAGGUAAAUCCGGUUCACUUUAACACUGAGGCGUGAUGACGAGGC